This 253-nucleotide ribosomal RNA is filed under the name uncultured bacterium. RNAcentral's name for it is "partial 16S ribosomal RNA". It matches the Rfam family "Bacterial small subunit ribosomal RNA", at positions 524 to 776 of the family's 1533-position model. The record is from RNAcentral.
UACGUAGGGUGCAAGCGUUAAUCGGAAUUACUGGGCGUAAAGCGUGCGCAGGCGGUUUUGUAAGUCAGAUGUGAAAUCCCCGGGCUUAACCUGGGAACUGCGUUUGAAACUACAAGGCUAGAGUGUGGCAGAGGGGGGUGGAAUUCCACGUGUAGCAGUGAAAUGCGUAGAGAUGUGGAGGAACACCGAUGGCGAAGGCAGCCCCCUGGGUUAACACUGACGCUCAGGCACGAAAGCUCGGGGAGCGAACGGG